Molecule: ribosomal RNA, 910 nt
Filed under: uncultured marine bacterium
Lineage: Bacteria
Description: bacterial SSU rRNA
Rfam family: Bacterial small subunit ribosomal RNA
Source: RNAcentral
UGCAGUCGAACGAGGUCUUCGGACCUAGUGGCGCACGGGUGAGUAACAUGUGGCAAUCUACCUGAAGGUUCGGAAUAACUGCGGGAAACUGUAGCUAAUACCGGAUGUGUCUGCAAAGAGAAAGAUUUAUCGCCUUCAGAUGAGCCCGCACUAGAUUAGCUAGUUGGUGAGGUAAUUGCUCCACCAAGGCUACGAUCUAUAGCUGAUUUGAGAGGAUGAUCAGCCACACUGGGACUGAGACACGGCCCAGACUCCUACGGGAGGCAGCAGUAGGGAAUAUUGGACAAUGGGGGAAACCCUGAUCCAGCAAUGCCGCGUGAGUGAAGAAGGCCUUCGGGUUGUAAAACUCUUUCAUCAAUGAUGAUAAUGACAUUAGUUGAAGAAGAAGCUCCAGCUAACUUCGUGCCAGCAGCCGCGGUAAUACGAAGGGGGCUAGCGUUGUUCGGAAUCACUGGGCGUAAAGCGUAUGUAGGCGGAUCAAAAAGUUAGAUGUGAAAUCCCUGGGCUCAACCCAGGAACUGCAUUUAAAACUAGUGAUCUAGAAUUUGGUAGGGGUUAGUAGAAUUUCCAGUGUAGAGGUGAAAUUCGUAGAUAUUGGAAAGAAUACCAGUGGCGAAGGCGACUAACUGGGCCAUUUUUGACGCUGAGAUACGAAAGCGUGGGUAGCAAACAGGAUUAGAUACCCUGGUAGUCCACGCAGUAAACGAUGAGUGCUAGUCGCUGGGACAAUAGUUUCAGUGUCGAAGCUAACGCAUUAAGCACUCCGCCUGGGAAGUACGGUCGCAAGAUUAAAACUCNAAUAAAUUGACGGGGGCCCGCACAAGCGGUGGAGCAUGUGGUUUAAUUCGAAAGCACGCGAAGAACCUACCAGACCUUGACAUGGUGUGUAUGAAUUACAGAAUCGUAAUUC